CGUCGCAACCCCCCGAGCCUGGUCACUGGUCCUGCUGGCCGCAGCGCGGCCAGCAGCGGGGCGAGCACCAUGCGGGAGCAGAGGAAUGUCUCCAAGUAAGACAAAAGAAGACCCAGAGGCAAAAGAUACCCAGAAGCCUUAGUCAAAUAAAGAAGAGGCAGCAAAGAGCCAUGAUGCAAAGAAUGCAGAGACUUCUUUUUAUAAAAGGUGGUGACACACAAGAGUCCGA
RNAcentral lists this long non-coding RNA (229 nucleotides) under Cavia porcellus (domestic guinea pig). RNAcentral's name for it is "lncRNA (ENSCPOG00000037630.1)". Lineage: Eukaryota; Metazoa; Chordata; Mammalia; Rodentia; Caviidae. The record is from RNAcentral.